AUGUAAUUUGAAUACUUAAUUAGCUCAUAGUCUGGUCUCAGGAAAAAAAAAUAUAUAUAUAGUUAUAAUAAAUAGCACUUACUCUCCUCUCAAUAUGUACCAGGCAUUGUUCUAAGUAAUCUACCUGGGUCAAUUUCUUUAACUCUGAGAACAACUUUAGGAGAAUUGGACACAGGUAUUAAGAGCUCAGGAAAUGUGCCAAGGUCACAUAGCCAGUCAGUGGUGAACUUGAGAUUUGACCCAGGUAGUUGGCUCCAAAGCCUGCACUUUUAACAGUCAUUCCAUUUUGCUAAAGCAAUUCUAAUGUAGUGUGGUAAAUAAAAUGAUAGAUUCAUAAAUAGACAUAUAAAUUUAAAAAGGGAAUUGAUCAAAUCUAUCUGUGAAGUGGUUAAGGAAGAUCUCACUAAGGUGGGUGCUACACAGUAGGAUUUUGAAGGCUAAAUAGGGAUUUUCCAGGUAGAGUAGUGGCAUAGUGUCUCUGGUUAAGGAUGUUGAAUUUCACACAGGCUUUAAAUUUGCUUCCUCCUGGAAGUUUAUGCAAAUAAAAAAGAUAGUCUGGUUUUUGUUCUAUGUUACUUUGGAGCACAGGGAGUGGAAUAAACUUGGAAGGACUAACACAAAAGCAGAGAAGAGAGCAGAAACAUAUUGAUAGAAGUGGAAAAAUUCUAAUGGAUAAGUGAGAACUAUGUUAGAAGACUGAAAAAAAAAUUGUUUUUCAGGUGGAGAAAUCUGAGAAACACCUGAUUUCUUUCACACAAGCCUCCUAAUGUUCAGGAUUUGAGGCGCCAGCAUGGUAGAUUGCUAAUGGCGACACAGAUGUUCUAGCUGCAGUGAGGUCUACUCCUUAAACUUGGUAUGAUGACCCUGGUAACUGGGAAAUUGUUGCAGGAUAGCCAAUGUUUAUUUCCUCUGUGGAAGAUUUCAGCACUACUGAGAGGAAGACAGUAGAAAUUUAUACAGCAAACCAAGGGCCAAGAAAUCUUUGGAUAACAAAGCUCAGAGGCUGCAAGUUAUAUAAAAUCCUAUAUGAGAAGCCUCCUGUAGUUGUGCAACACAGAUGUUGCAGUAAUCAGAUAAUGUCCUCUGGCUGCUCUUGCUGAUUUCUCUGAAGACUGGUGUUUUGGAAAGACUGUUGAAUUGAGAAGCAAAGUCCAAGGUUUGCAUUAAUAUUUAGUUGCUUUUAAAAUUUCAACCAGUACCUCUGAAUGUCAGUGUACUUAUCUUCAUUGUUUUGCAUUAAAUGUGGCACUUCUGAAAGUCAGAGACCUCUCUAAACUUUGGCUUACAAUCAAAAUAUGUUUGUAUUCCUACAUUAUCUACGGUGUUAAUAUCAAUGGUGUUAAUAAAAGACUUUGACUUUGAUUUUUUUUAAUGUAG
Molecule: long non-coding RNA, 1377 nt
Filed under: Felis catus (domestic cat)
Lineage: Eukaryota; Metazoa; Chordata; Mammalia; Carnivora; Felidae
Description: lncRNA (ENSFCAG00000048177.1)
Source: RNAcentral